This 86-nucleotide transfer RNA is filed under the name Candidatus Magasanikbacteria bacterium CG10_big_fil_rev_8_21_14_0_10_38_6. RNAcentral describes it as "tRNA-Leu". It matches the Rfam family "tRNA". From Rfam's summary of the family: Transfer RNA (tRNA) molecules are approximately 80 nucleotides in length. The record is from RNAcentral. Lineage: Bacteria; Candidatus Magasanikiibacteriota.
GCCCAGGUGGUGGAAUGGUAGACACGAGGGACUUAAAAUCCCUUGGUAGCAAUACCGUGCGGGUUCAAUUCCCGCUCUGGGUACAA